Non-coding RNA from Dipodomys ordii (Ord's kangaroo rat), 65 nucleotides. NCBI's taxonomy places the organism in Eukaryota, Metazoa, Chordata, Mammalia, Rodentia, Heteromyidae. The record is from Rfam.
GGUGGCUCAGUGGUAGAGUACUUGCCUUGCAUGCAUGAGGCCCUGGGUUUGAUUCCUCAGUACCA